UACGAAGGGGGCUAGCGUUGCUCGGAAUCACUGGGCGUAAAGCGCACGUAGGCGGAUUGUUAAGUCAGGGGGGAAAUCCCGGGGCUCAACCCCGGAACUGCCUUUGAUACUGGUAGUCUCGAGUCCGGAAGAGGUGAGUGGAAUUCCGAGUGUAGAGGUGAAAUUCGUAGAUAUGUGGAGGAACACCAGUGGCGAAGGCGACUCUUUGGUCUGUAACUGACGCUGAGGCGCGAAAGCGUGGGGAGCAAACAGG
Molecule: ribosomal RNA, 253 nt
Filed under: uncultured bacterium
Lineage: Bacteria
Description: partial 16S ribosomal RNA
Rfam family: Bacterial small subunit ribosomal RNA
Source: RNAcentral